UUUUUUUUUUUUUUUUUGGCACAUGACCACCUGGGAGGUGUUUUCAAAAGAACACACUCAAGUAAUAAGUGAAAUUCUAUCAUGCAAUCUUUCCCUUUAGUCAGGCCAAGGAUAGUCUGGUUUCCUUCUCCCCUUUAAAUGAUAAUAGUAACUACUUAAAUAAAAAUGAAUUUUACAAUCAAUAACUAUGUUGCAAUAUUUUGCACAGUUGAUGAAGUGCGUUGUGUUUGAUCAUAUAGACAUAUGAUGCAGACACUUUAUUUAUACCUACAAUUCCUAAAUAAAACUUUUGCAUGCAUGAAAGUAAGGCCUACAUAGGGACAUUCUUUAGAAGGUUUUUAAUAAAGACAAGAAUUUCAGAAAAAAAAAUUUUUCCUCAAAAUUGAAAUAUAUUGUCAAACUAGAAAAUAAUACAUUUUUAAAAAACUAAAAUAACUAGACCUAUGAAUAAUGGCACUGGUAAGUUUUAGAAUCAUUAUAUAGAUAAUGUUUAACAAAUUACAAAAGGACAGGGACUGGAACACACCAAUAAAUAUUCAUAUUGUUACAUACAUAUAUAGUAAACACAUGCAGCCUGGAUGGGAGAUAUGCAGAAUAGCUUCAGAAAAAGGAUUAUACCUAGAGUAGGUAUUUUCAAAAUUGUAUAGAAUGGAAAGAAGCUGACAGUUUUAAUAUUUUUAAUAUUAUUUCAAGCAAGGUUUACAUCGAAGAUUUGAUAUCUCCUACAUGAUGAUAUUUAUAGGGUAUAAACACCUUUUUCUCUAUGCUUUUCUCAGGGUUGAUACGUUUAAAUUAUAUAUUUAUUGUGAUAGACAAAAUAAUUGUCCCCAAAAUAUAUCUGUAUUUUUUUAGAACUCUCCAGUAAAAGAGAGACUUAUUGUAAGAGAUUGUCUCUUGUGAUUAUAGAGAGUGAAAAGUUCCAUGUUUGCUCCUUGCAAGUUGGAAACUCAGAAAAGCUGAUGACAUACAGUUCAAAGCCUGAGACCUGGAAAGACAAUAGUAGAAAUUACAGUCUGGGUCGAAGGCCGGAGAAAUAGAAGUGGCAGGAGAAGAUAGAUAACCCUGCCCAAUCAGUCAGGCAGAGUUAAUUCAGCCCUUUUCUACCUUUUUGUUUUAUUUAGGCUCUCAACGGAUUGAAUGGUCUCCACCCACACUGGGGAGGACAAUCUGCUUUAUUCGGUCCACCAAUUUGAACACUAAUCUCUUCUGAAAACACCAUCACAGACACACUCAGAAAUAAUGUUUAACCAGCUGUCCAGGCAUACCAUGGCUCAGUUAAGCUGACACAUAAAAUUAACCUCAUAAUGACCAAGCUUUAAUCCCUGAAACUUGGGAAUGUAUUCGUUUACAUGGCAAAAGAUACUUUUCACAUGUGAUUAACCUAAGAAUUUCUAAAUUGGCAUAUUAUGUUAUAUUACUUAUAAGCCCAAACAAAGUCCUUAUAAGUCAGAAUACAUCAAGGAGAAAUAUUUGAAUAUGCUAUGCUGCUGGCUUUGAAGAUAAAGAAAGGUGCCACUAGCCAUUGAAUGCCAAGCAGCCUGUAGGGGCUCGAAAAUGCAAAGAAAGAGAUUAUUUUCUAGAAUCUCCAGAAGGAAAGCAACUCUGCUGACACCUUACUUUAAGUCCAAUGAAAGUUUGGACCUGCAGCUCUGUAAAAUAAUACAUUUACGUUGCUUUAAGCAGAGUAAGUUUGUGAUUAUUUGUUUCAACAGCAGUCGGAAAUUAAUAUAUACAUACAGAAUAUACAUAAUUAUACAUGCAUAUAUGAUACUUUAAAUUCAGUAGUUUGUUUUAAGCUUAGAUUUUAAUAGAAGAUUUUAAAAGAAAAAGAAUUUGUCAAAAAUGCACAGAUGAACUCAAACUGUUCAUAAUGCUAACAGCAAAUAGCCAAAGACCUUAUAGGUAAUAGCCAGAAAUGAUAUUUAAAUUUCAGAAAGCUAGCUAGCAGUUCUUGUUAGUAGAAACAAAAGACAGAAAGUAAAACAUUGAAAGUUAUCUUAUUCUAAUUGAGUG
RNAcentral lists this long non-coding RNA (2013 nucleotides) under Macaca fascicularis (crab-eating macaque). RNAcentral describes it as "lncRNA (ENSMFAG00000062268.1)". Lineage: Eukaryota; Metazoa; Chordata; Mammalia; Primates; Cercopithecidae. The record is from RNAcentral.